GGAUCAUAGAGUGUGCUUUGCAGAGUGGCACAUCCAUGGACAGCAGCUCCUGUGGCCACAGCUUUCUAUUGUAUCCAGGCCUGGUGGCUGGAGAAAAGAGAAGGAAAGGUAGGACAUAUCUUGAACCUGUUCAGAUACUAAGAUCAUCCCCCUGCCUUCUGAAGUUAGGUAAAAGAUCUGCAGUACAGAAAACCAGAUCGUUACACCUGCCUGAGUUUGGGUUGAUUAAUCUAUUCCUGCUGCAACUAACUAUUCAGAUGUACUCACCUACAGGAGCCAAUGCAAGUGUGUCUGUGGGUAUCCUCUCUCUGUUACAGGACAAACUCCCCUCUCACUUCAAGAAAUACAGUAUGCAUGUUUUCCCCCCUACACUGCAUUAGCAGGUUCUCCCCUGAUCAACUGGAAUGUGCAUCUAAAUGUAAUGAAGGCCAGCUACAAAUGCUACCUGCAAGCAUCAGACUUCUUCUUCUUUUCUUUUAAGGAAAGAAAAACCCUCUGACUUCAGUCUAAAACGCCCUGACGUCACAAUAGCUGGAGCGAAUGUGCGGAGUGAAGAGAACUGGGGGAGGCACCUCGGCCAAUGCGGUCCCACCCCUCUGCCCUCCCCUGAAGGAUCCUAACUUGCUGGGAGUAGACCCUGUGCAGAAGGGGAGGGAGUAGAAGAGGCUGCCUGAAUGUUAAACUCUCCUCCUCUUAGAAGCAGAGCAUAAGCUGUCUUCCGCCCUCAGUGAGCCAACAUAUGUGGAUUCAACCAGAUUCUCUUUUCCACCGGCUCCACAUUUCUACCGUCAUCCCUUCAAUGCGAUGGCUGUACUUGUUUACAAUCUUUUUACAUUAAAACGUAUUGAAAGUGGGCAGAUGCCAGCAUCCAACAGCAUCAUAAACAAAUCAAGGAAAAAACAAUGAAGGCGUGAAUCUGGAAAACGCAACCACAAGUAUCGGAGGUGCUAGUCGCCACUUAGGUGUCUGUGUAUCCAUUUUAUUUAAUAUAAAAGGAAAUUUUUGCAUAAACUUUGUGGGUGGGGGCUAGUGCAGGGGAAAGAAUAUUAUGAGUCAGUAUCUGUAUAUCUCCAUCCAUCCUAUGCCUGCCUGCCUUCUCAGAAGUCUGUUCCUUUGAGUUCAGUAAGUUUCAUGGGGUUGUUAAAUGGUGUUACAGCUCAACAGCUGCAGAAUUUAUUUAUUUAUGCAGAUUCUGAUAAUCUAUUCACUGUUUGUAUAUUAUGAUUUGGAAUUGAAAAGACAUUUAGAAAUGCCCAAGUAUAUUGCAUAGUCCUGUAUAUAUUGAAGUGGCAAUCCUAUGCAUAUUUUCUAAGGAGUAACAUCAAUAGAACUUAUUUCUAGGAAUCAUAUAUACAUUUAGCUUAAUUAUAACCUGUAGAGAUUGGUCCUAUUUAGAUAAUGAGAGUUUUUCUCAUUCUCUUCUUUCGAUAUGGUUUUGUGUUGAACAGUAGUUUUUAUGUACAGUAGAUGAAUAAAGUCACGUGGCUGGAAGUUAUAACUGAUUUGCUCAAAUGUA
This is a long non-coding RNA of Hemicordylus capensis (graceful crag lizard), 1516 nucleotides long. RefSeq lists it as uncharacterized. The record is from RefSeq and is a predicted model, not a curated record. The transcript is spliced from 5 exons. NCBI's taxonomy places the organism in Eukaryota, Metazoa, Chordata, Lepidosauria, Squamata, Cordylidae.